GUGAGUAGUUCUAGAGUUUGAUCCUGGCUCAGGACGAACGCUGGCGGCGUGCCUAACACAUGCAAGUCGAACGGGGUGUUCCUUCGGGGACACUUAGUGGCGAACGGGUGAGUAACGCGUGAGAAACCUGCCUCUCAUGGGGGACGAACAGUUGGAAACGACUGCUAAUACCGCAUAAUGUUAUCGGGUCGCAUGAUCUGAUAACCAAAGCUUUAUGUGCUGAGAGAUGGUCUCGCGUCUGAUUAGCUAGAUGGCGGGGUAACGGCCCACCAUGGCGACGAUCAGUAGCCGGUCUGAGAGGAUGAACGGCCACAUUGGGACUGAGAUACGGCCCAG
RNAcentral lists this ribosomal RNA (336 nucleotides) under uncultured bacterium. Its description in RNAcentral is "bacterial SSU rRNA". It matches the Rfam family "Bacterial small subunit ribosomal RNA", at positions 1 to 334 of the family's 1533-position model. The record is from RNAcentral.